RNAcentral lists this ribosomal RNA (462 nucleotides) under Nocardia pneumoniae. Its description in RNAcentral is "bacterial SSU rRNA". It matches the Rfam family "Bacterial small subunit ribosomal RNA", at positions 28 to 507 of the family's 1533-position model. Lineage: Bacteria; Bacillati; Actinomycetota; Actinomycetes; Mycobacteriales; Nocardiaceae. The record is from RNAcentral.
GACGAACGCUGGCGGCGUGCUUAACACAUGCAAGUCGAGCGGUAAGGCCCUUCGGGGUACACGAGCGGCGAACGGGUGAGUAACACGUGGGUGAUCUGCCUCGCACUUCGGGAUAAGCCUGGGAAACUGGGUCUAAUACCGGAUAUGACUCCUGGUCGCAUGGCUGGGGGUGGAAAGAUUUAUCGGUGUGAGAUGGGCCCGCGGCCUAUCAGCUUGUUGGUGGGGUAAUGGCCUACCAAGGCGACGACGGGUAGCCGGCCUGAGAGGGCGACCGGCCACACUGGGACUGAGACACGGCCCAGACUCCUACGGGAGGCAGCAGUGGGGAAUAUUGCACAAUGGGCGAAAGCCUGAUGCAGCGACGCCGCGUGAGGGAUGACGGCCUUCGGGUUGUAAACCUCUUUCGACUCCGACGAAGCGGAAGUGACGGUAGGAGUAGAAGAAGCACCGGCCAACUACGUG